UAGAGAGCGGACACCCAGUGGGACGGGGUUACUGCAGCCCAUGCACCGCAACACGCGGCUGGGGCGUCCCACGCGCGGCUGGGACGCGGCACCGCUCUGUGCCGGUGGGACCCGGCCAGGCAGCGUUUUCUGGGGAGAGGGGGAGGUGGCUAAAAUACAGACCGAUUUUCAUCAGAGCGGAUGCUAGUGCCCUUCAAAUUAAUCAACUGGCAGGAGAUAAUUUGACAGGUGAAGCAGGCAACUUCUUUUCUUCCAUCUAGACUACAUAUUCAUCAUCACAGGACACUGAUAUUUCAUAAGCCUGCAAAUUAUUGAAAUCCCAUUGGAGACGUCUACAGACGCAUUUGGAUGCCAAUGUCAUCAAUGCUGUCUGCACUACCAUGGCUUGCUGUGCUCUUCCCAAUCUUUGUGACGCCAGAGGUGCGCCAUUUCCCUCUGAAUGGAC
Molecule: non-coding RNA, 445 nt
Organism: Chrysemys picta bellii (western painted turtle)
Lineage: Eukaryota; Metazoa; Chordata; Testudines; Emydidae
Source: RefSeq, a predicted model, not a curated record